This is a non-coding RNA of Bos taurus (domestic cattle), 73 nucleotides long. The record is from Rfam. Lineage: Eukaryota; Metazoa; Chordata; Mammalia; Artiodactyla; Bovidae.
UUCUUGAUGAUCCAAUAGUUAAGACUCAGUGCUUCCAACACAGGGGGCACAGGUUCAAUCCCUGUUCAGGGAA